RNAcentral lists this signal recognition particle RNA (221 nucleotides) under Candidatus Bathyarchaeota archaeon. RNAcentral's name for it is "partial signal recognition particle sRNA". It matches the Rfam family "Archaeal signal recognition particle RNA", at positions 1 to 219 of the family's 317-position model. Lineage: Archaea; Thermoproteati; Candidatus Bathyarchaeota. The record is from RNAcentral.
UGGCGGGUAGGAUCGGGGAGCUAGCCCUGCCCUGUAACCCGAAAUGGGCUACAUGCGGGGAUCCGCCAACCAUCAAAGGCGGCAACCUGAACAGCCAGAUGAGGUUUCACAAGUCAACGAUGAAAUCCCGUCUCGCAGGGCUUGGCUGGAGACGGCCUCCUCGAAGGAGGGGGUUGAGUCUCUCUACCGCCGAAACGGGUCAGGCCGGGAACGGAGCAGCC